Molecule: RNase P RNA, 325 nt
Filed under: Bacteroidales bacterium
Lineage: Bacteria; Pseudomonadati; Bacteroidota; Bacteroidia; Bacteroidales
Description: RNase P RNA component class A
Rfam family: Bacterial RNase P class A
About the family: Ribonuclease P (RNase P) is a ubiquitous endoribonuclease, found in archaea, bacteria and eukarya as well as chloroplasts and mitochondria. Its best characterised activity is the generation of mature 5'-ends of tRNAs by cleaving the 5'-leader elements of precursor-tRNAs.
Source: RNAcentral
CAGGUGAGACUUCCUAUCGCUCUUUCGGGAGAGGAAAGUCCGGACAGCACAGAGCACUUCCCUGUGGAAAGCACAGACAGAUGAAAGUUUGUGGAGCGCGUAACAGAAAACAACCGCCCGCAUGGGUAAGGGUGAAAAUGUGAGGUAAGAGCUCACAACCGUUAAUGGCGACACUAACGGGGUACGCACCGGAAGGCUGCAAGACCAAAUAUACCGGCAAUUAAGGGUUGCUCGCCCGCUGCCGGGGGGUAGGUCGCGUUAGAUAAAUGAUAGGAGCCUUUUACGAUAAUAGGGCACAGAAUCCGGCUUAUGUCUCACCUUUUUU